UCAUUGUUGUUAACGUUGUUGAUUUUCCUGAGUUCUUCAUCUUCACCAUCACAAUCAAUUACAACACUUGACCCUUCGGUUUCCAAUUUCAGUGACCUUUUGAUGAUAUAACAACACAAUAUAGAUAACAAUACAAAUAACAAUCAACUAAUUGUAAACAAAAGAAACAGAUCAAUUCAAUUAUGAAAGGGAAAGCAACAUUCACAUUAAAAGUAACUUAUUAAUCAACAGCAGCAAAAGCAGUCAGUUAAUUGUUGGUCUUCAAAGGGAAAACAUUGGCAAUUAGUGAUGAUUAAAAAGUGUCAAUUAUUUGGAAUCACAAUUGUGAUGAUCAAAAGAGAGAGAGAGGGAGAAAUGAAAAUAACCAAUCACAGUGAAUCGAAUAAAAAAGAAAGAGAAAAAAAUUUAUUCUCUUUUCUCUUUUGUUCCAUUUACAUGUUAACCUUUUCCUCGUUAACUUUAAAACGUAAAAAUAGAUUCAUCUUAAUGUAUUAAUCGAUUUAAAUUCUGUUGGCCUUAAUUUAAUUUUCUUUCUCUCUGUUAAUUUUUUUUCUUUAAUCUGUCUCUUGUUUUCCGAAUCAUGGAAACGCAAUUACCUGGAAAACUUAAUUUCCUCUUUGAUUAACUUUUUCUCAUCUUUGGAUAGUCAAAGUGUUGAAGCCUUUUGGUCAUCAGAUUAUAUGUAAUAUGUUUGUUUCCAGUGUUUCUUUUCCCUUGGAAUUUGAUUUGAUUUGAUUGUUUAGGAAAACAUGGAAAGAUUCUGUAACAAUGAUGAUAAUCCGUGUUGGAGCCAUGUAAUAAAUGCGUGAUGGACAAACUAGGUUAGGCCUAACCUUGGGAAGAUUUUAUUUCAAUUAACUAACUUGACGUGUAUACAAUUUGGUUUUCAAUUAAUCAUCUUCUUUUGACUAUUCUUUUUUAUUACUGUUAAUCGUCGUUGUCAUGAUUAUUAUUCACUGAUAAACAUGGAAGACACUGCGACACAGUUAGAGUGAAGAUGCAAAAGUAGCUAUAAAGAUGCUAAACAAAGUUCUCAUCUACAGUUAUGAAGAGGAAAAAAAAGUCUGAAAAUUUAUCAUCCACCUCUGGAUAAAGUCAAUCGUUUACUCUGUUGAUUACUAAAAGAAAAUUUUUCUUAUCUAUAAGCCUUAUCGUACUUGGAACGGUAAAUAUUAUUAAUAAGUUGUAAUCGCAUCGAGCUAAUCAAUCAAUCUGAAAAUCUUUGACGUCUAUGGAUUUGGUAACCAAAUCAAAAUGGUAUUAAUUCAAAAGUGGAAAGGAUGAUUUAACCAUCGGAACAAACAAAAUUUAAAUCAAUCAAUUGACUGUUGUUAAGUUUUUUUUGUAUCUAAUUUGAGAAAAAGCUGAGAUUAGCUUUUUGUCUUUCGAGUAAAAAUUUACUUAUCGAAGCAUCUUAAUAGAUUCUUGUGGCAGCGAUGGAGAAAGCAUAUUAAUUCAACUGAAAAAGCAGCUUGACUUCCCAGUGGAUUUAAUUGUGAUACAUAAUCCAAAUAUAAUAUCAACUGACCUUUGCAUUUUGAAGCCACUGGACAGGAAUUGUAAUCAUACACCAAACAGAUGAGACAAGUGAUUUAAGUCGUAAAAUCAAAACAAACAAUUUUGAUUAAAGUAUCAAGAAUAUAUAUAAUCAAUUAAUUACGUGAUGUGAAGUUUAAUUAAUCCAUGGUUGUAUCAUUCGUUAGUUGGAUCCAUUUGGUUAAUAUAAUCAAAGCACUGGACUGAUGAGACAACGUGAAAUUAAAACUUGGAUUUGCUGAUAUGAUGAUUUAAUCAACCUACUGAUGAAACAAUUAUAAAGUGAAAAGUAAUCAACAGAUUCACUGGUGAUCAUCUGAACAACUUGAAGUGAAAUAUGAUUAAAGCCUUAUGAAACUUGAAGGAGGGAGAAAGUAAAAGAGAGAGGACCUUGAUUGAGAAAUGAUGAGAAUCGAGGAACAAUUAAAAUUGCAACUGAAUAAUAAGAAAAAUAUUCGAAAAAGAGAAGAUGAGAAAACAAAAGGAAAACGAUGAUAAUGAUGAAAAAAAGGAUGAGAACGAUGAGGAAGUGGUUGUUUGUUUAUCGAGAGACUUGAAGUUUUGGCUGAGAUACUUCGAGUUUCUAAUUUAACCGAACAUUAUCUUUCCACCUCCUCUCUCUCCCUCCCUCUCUCUCUUGCUUUCUCUCUUUCUCACUCUCUCACUUUCUCAUCUGAAUCUCUCAUCCAAUCUUCAUCAUCCUCUUUGAAUUUUUCGUCUUAGACAAUUUCUUGGGCUCUUGUCAAACUCUUCCUCUCGGGAUGAAUCUAAUGUAGGCCAAACUUGUUUCUUCGUAUCAUCAUCAUCUUUCAAUUUAUUUCACCUUCUUUUCUUAACAAUUUACUAACACAAUUAGUUAAUUCUGUAAAUGCAGCCGCAUGUAAUUUUCUCAACUUAUAAUUAGUAUCAUUUGUCUCCCCCCAAGUUGCUCACUCAAAAGGUAGCAAAUUCAACGCUUUAAAUUUGAUCAAUCAAAAAUGUUUUAAUUUCCAUUUUCAACAACUCCAAUCUUAUCAAAUUGUAACAAUUGUAAUAUAUUAAUCCUGAAGCUUUUUCUUUUUCUCUCUCCCAAUUUCUUAAUUGUUUGAUAAUAUAAUCAUCAAUCAACAAUAAGAUAAUUCCUCAUCUAGGUAAAUGAAAAGCAAUCGUAACCUUGUUGUGUAACAAUUGUGAUUGUUUCCAAUUUUUGCAGAACGAAAAAAAAUUUACUCUUUUGUUGCAAUUUAAGAAUAAGAUUCAACUCCAAGGACAAUCACAAUCAAAUGACAAUUUAAAGAUGAUUUAUUAUCCGUGAUACAUUUGAUUAUUUUUGUCACGAAUUUAAUAUCAACCAGAUAAUUUCAUCUUCUACCCACACAUUAAUUGUACUUCCUUCCGGAUCAUAAUCUCCAUUGGAAUCAUCAAAGUAAAUGUUUACCAUAAUUUGUAAUAUCCAUCAAAGAGUAAGACUAAUCAUUUAUCGAACCUUAAACGACAAAUGAGUCAAUUUGUAGAGGUCAUUUGGUCAAUCAGUUUAAUUGAUUAAAUGGUAAACAAAUCGGCUUAUGAGAAGAAAAAUUUUUUUUCGAUAAGUUGAAGAUAAAUCAUAUAAUUAUCAACUCGAGCUUUUCUUUUCAUGUCAAAUCAACGCAGUUUUUUUGUUUAUUAAUAUAAAAUAAAAUAUAAAAAAUGAGGGAAACAAUUAUUUUCAUUUCAUAGAAUCAUUUGUUGAUUGAUUUUCUUUUGAUGUUGUUGUUGAUGUUGCUUUCUGUUGAUUAUCGUUUAAAGAAUCGCCACUUGGUGAUGGACAAUAAUCAUCAUUUACAUAUCUAAAUUCAC
Molecule: long non-coding RNA, 3354 nt
Organism: Panonychus citri (citrus red mite)
Lineage: Eukaryota; Metazoa; Arthropoda; Arachnida; Trombidiformes; Tetranychidae
Exons: 4
Source: RefSeq, a predicted model, not a curated record